UAUUAGCGAUCGAGGAAAAGCCAAACUCCAAAGAAGAGGGUGGAGGGGCCAAAAAGCAUUGAUCAACAUAUGCCAAAGAAGAGGAGUGAACAUGGCUCGGUGAGUGGAAAAGCGUCGAACAAGAGCUCUUCACGAGGUUCAGCUAUGCAAGCUACUCCAUUAGUUGAAGACACGGUGCUUCAAUCUCUCUCUAAGGAGUUAACUUAUCUGCACAACCGUGUUUGCGUGUUGCCUAGUGACAGCUCCAUUCAAGUUCCACUACCUAAGGAAAUGUUCCACUACGAUGAUGAUGCAAUGGCAUGGCUAUUUAAAGAAGAUUUGAAGGAAUUUCUAAGUGGUGCAAUGCUCAACAUUUCCCUCAUUCAAAUAUGCAUCAGAGCACUCUAGGAGCACUUAUGGGAGCUUGGUUCUCCCUGUCAAAUUGGGUGGUUAUGCCCUGAGCAGAUCUCCACUGCUAGAAUCUUAGGCAACCACGCUGACGUGUUGUACUAUGUUGAACGGGGUAUCAAGGAAUCAGUGCGUGCGGAAGACAUGUUUAUAUUUGCCCCAUAUUAUGAGGAUUAUCAUUGGACCCUACUGGUGAUUUGUGUUUCCAGUAACACAAUAUUCUUCUUUGAUUCUGUUUGGUUACCUCAACCAAGAAAGCGCCUCGUGAAGUCCAUACUGCAAAAUGUUAUGAAGAAGAUAAAUUCUCGAGCUCCUCGAGGUCCUACAUGGAUAUCACCGAUGGUAAU
Chenopodium quinoa (quinoa) is the source of this 734-nucleotide long non-coding RNA. RefSeq lists it as uncharacterized. NCBI's taxonomy places the organism in Eukaryota, Viridiplantae, Streptophyta, Magnoliopsida, Caryophyllales, Amaranthaceae. The record is from RefSeq and is a predicted model, not a curated record. The transcript is spliced from 4 exons.